GGGGGACACAGGCUGGAUGGGGGGACACAGGCUGGAUGGGGGACACAGGCUGGAUGGGGGACACAGGCUGGAUGGGGGGACACAGGCUGGAUGGGGGACACAGGCUGGAUGGAGGGAUACAGGGUGGAUGGAGGGACACAGGGUGGAUGAUACAGGAUGGGUGGAUGGAUGGAUUGAUAGAGGGUGGAUGGAGAGCUACAGGGUUGAUUGCAGGAUAUGGUGUGGAGGGGUAUGGGGUGGAUGGAAGGAUGGAGGGAUGGAUGCAGGGUGGAUGGAUACAGGUUGGAACGAUACCGAGUAGAUAGAGGGACAGGGGGUGAAUGGAGGGAUACUGGGUGGAUAGAGGGACAGGGGGUGAAUGGAGGGAUAUUGGGUAGAUAGAGGGACAGGGGGUGAAUGAAGGGAUACUGGGUGGAUAGAGGGUGAAUGGAGAGAUACUGGGUGGAUUGAGGGACAGGGGUGAAUGGAGGGAUAUUGGGUAGAUAGAGGGACAGGGGGUGAAUGAAGGGAUACUGGGUGGAUAGAGGGUGAAUGGAGGGAUACUGGGUAGAUAGAGGGACAGGGGGUGAAUGGAGGGAUACUGGGUAGAUAGAGGGACAGGGGUGAAUGAAGGGAUACUGGGUGGAUAGAGGGUGAAUGGAGGGAUACUGGGUAGAUAGAGGGACAGGGGGUGAAUGGAGGGAUAUUGGGUAGAUAGAGGGACAGGGGGUGAAUGAAGGGAUACUGGGUAGAUAGAGG
This is a long non-coding RNA of Oncorhynchus tshawytscha (Chinook salmon), 738 nucleotides long. The record is from Ensembl. NCBI's taxonomy places the organism in Eukaryota, Metazoa, Chordata, Actinopteri, Salmoniformes, Salmonidae.